This 253-nucleotide ribosomal RNA is filed under the name uncultured bacterium. RNAcentral's name for it is "partial 16S ribosomal RNA". It matches the Rfam family "Bacterial small subunit ribosomal RNA", at positions 524 to 776 of the family's 1533-position model. The record is from RNAcentral.
UACGUAGGUGGCAAGCGUUAUCCGGAAUUAUUGGGCGUAAAGGGAGCGUAGGCGGACUUUUAAGUGAGAUGUGAAAUACUCGGGCUCAACUUGAGUGCUGCAUUUCAAACUGGAAGUCUAGAGUGCAGGAGAGGAGGAUGGAAUUCCUAGUGUAGCGGUGAAAUGCGUAGAGAUUAGGAAGAACACCAGCGGCGAAGGCGAUUCUCUGGACUGUAACUGACGCUGAGGCUCGAAAGCGUGGGGAGCAAACAGG